This 910-nucleotide ribosomal RNA is filed under the name Pyrenula nitida. Its description in RNAcentral is "eukaryotic LSU rRNA". It matches the Rfam family "Eukaryotic large subunit ribosomal RNA", at positions 194 to 1126 of the family's 3401-position model. Lineage: Eukaryota; Fungi; Ascomycota; Eurotiomycetes; Pyrenulales; Pyrenulaceae. The record is from RNAcentral.
AACAGGGUGUCAGAGAGGGUGAGAGUCCCGUCUUUAACCGUGAGCCGCGCCCAUGUGAAGCUCCUUCGACGAGUCGGGUUGUUUGGGAAUGCAGCUCAAAAUGGGUGGUAAAUUUCAUCUAAAGCUAAAUACCGGCCAGAGACCGAUAGCGCACAAGUAGAGUGAUCGAAAGAUGAAAAGCACUUUGAAAAGAGAGUUAAACAGCAUGUGAAAUUGUUGAAAGGGAAGCGCUUGCAACCAGACUUGUGGGCAGCAGUUCAGCCGUUAUUCUUAACGGUGCACUCUGUUGUUUCCAGGCCAGCAUCGGUUUAGGUAGUUAGUUAAAGGCUCAGAGAAUGUAUCUGUUCUUCGGGGCAGACUUAUAGCUCUGGGUGACAUCUGGCUUACCUGGACCGAGGAACGCGCUUCGGCACGGAUGCUGGCGUAAUGGUUGUAAGCGGCCCGUCUUGAAACACGGACCAAGGAGUCUAACAUCUAUGCGAGUGUUUGGGUGUCAAACCCAUGCGCGUAAUGAAAGUGAACGGAGGUAGGAGCCUGUGGGCGCACUAUCGACCGAUCCUGAUGUCUUCGGAUGGAUUUGAGUAAGAGCAUAGCUGUUGGGACCCGAAAGAUGGUGAACUAUGCCUGAAUAGGGUGAAGCCAGAGGAAACUCUGGUGGAGGCUCGCAGCGGUUCUGACGUGCAAAUCGAUCGUCAAAUUUGGGUAUAGGGGCGAAAGACUAAUCGAACCAUCAGUAGCUGGUUCCUGCCGAAGUUUCCCUCAGGAUAGCAGUAACGUUUUCAGUUUUAUGAGGUAAAGCAAUGAUUAGCGGCCUUGGGGAAGUAACUUCCUUAACCGAUUCUCAAACUUUAAAUAUGUAAGAAGUCCUUGUUACUUAAGUGAACGUGGACAUUUGAAUGUAUCGUACUAG